This 231-nucleotide long non-coding RNA is filed under the name Vigna radiata. RNAcentral's name for it is "long non-coding RNA (VRAD_LNC005563)". Lineage: Eukaryota; Viridiplantae; Streptophyta; Magnoliopsida; Fabales; Fabaceae. The record is from RNAcentral.
UUUGUUUAUAAUCUAAAACAAUAUUUUAGUGAAAAAGGUCAAUCACUUUUUAUAGUGAUUAACGAUUAGACGUAGCAUUUGUUGAUUCAAACCAGGAUAAAAUCUUUUCUGUGAUUUUCUUUGACUCUAUAACUCUUGCGUUUGAACUAUUUGACGAAAGUCCUAAAAGAAAAUCAUAAUUCUUAAAAGAACCAAUUAACCCCUCCUCUCUUGGCUAUUGACUACUUACAC